Camellia sinensis is the source of this 109-nucleotide non-coding RNA. The record is from RefSeq and is a predicted model, not a curated record. Lineage: Eukaryota; Viridiplantae; Streptophyta; Magnoliopsida; Ericales; Theaceae.
UAGCCAUGAUGUGGGCAAGAGUUUAACGUAUUUUUAAAACGUUCCCAGCACUGAUAAAAUGUUUCUUUUUCUUUUUGAGAAAAAUUCAUGAUUUGUCUUUUCUAAGAAU